AAGUAGAGAAACUCUGUUUCAGCUGCAGUGAAGUCAAUUUUUUUCUCACUUACGUGGAACUUUAUUGAAUUAAGCAAAUGUAGGAGUUGCUUUUAAGAUGGUGUGUUUAAGAAAGAACUGCAGAUGCUGGAAAAAUCGAAGACACCUUCAGCCAGAAUGGGGCAUAGGGGAGUAGCCAUCUUGGUCACUUAAUCGGACUGCAUGAAAAAGGGGCAGUAGAGAAAAAACUGACAAAGAUGCGGGUGAAUUUUCCAUUAGUUUCCUGGAUCACCAACUACCUGACUGGACGAUCACA
Molecule: long non-coding RNA, 295 nt
Organism: Amblyraja radiata (thorny skate)
Lineage: Eukaryota; Metazoa; Chordata; Chondrichthyes; Rajiformes; Rajidae
Exons: 3
Source: RefSeq, a predicted model, not a curated record